Chrysemys picta bellii (western painted turtle) is the source of this 2327-nucleotide non-coding RNA. The record is from RefSeq and is a predicted model, not a curated record. Lineage: Eukaryota; Metazoa; Chordata; Testudines; Emydidae.
GGGAGGUCUGCAGCCGCUCGGAAGGAGCACUGUGUGUUAAACUCACCCGGCUGGCAGCUCCCACUCAGAGAUGAGCUCAUCUCUAUUCUUAGCGUGAUUAAAAAAUAGGCCAGUGCCAAGCGAGCGUUGUUUACCCAGGGCAAGCGGAAGAGGCAGCCAUGCGAAAGGCCCAGAUGGAGCUGUUGCUGACGACACUGAGCGGCUCCUGCGCCCCAUGGGGAAGGUGUCCUUGCUUCUCCACCUGCCCCAGCUGAGGGCGCCAUGCCAGAGCUCCCUCCCCGGCAGCUGCAGGAGGGGCCCCGGGCUGCCGUCGGCUGCCACCGUUCCAGGAGGCCGCAGCCUGCCCAUGCACAGGGUAUCCCAGCAUUUCUAACAGCGUCCUGCUGUCACUGUGCGCGGCUCAGCUUCGGCGUCUCUCCAACACCAGGCGCGCUGCGGCGUCCCCAGGUGGGCGGCCCAGCAUCACUGUCUGCUCUCCAGGAGUGGGAAUCAGCCCUGCCUUGCUGCCGGCUGUGUCUGCUCAGCAAGGAUCUCGUGGUGAACACAACAGGCCCAACUCUCUAAUCGCUUGCACCAGUGGUGCUCCGGGACCACUCCUGAUAAACGUGGGGUCAGGUUUUCUAGACCUUUAAUCAUUUUUGUUGCUCUUCUCUGGACUUUCUCCAAUUUGUCCACAUCUUUCCUGGAAUGUGGCACCCAGAACUGGACACAAUACUCCAGCUGAGGCCUUAUCAGCACGGACUGAGCUUUGGAGUCUGAAGUGUGAGAUCUAGUGUAAGUGCGCAAGGGAGCAGGAAGCAACAAGCAUGAACGUGACGGGGGAUCAGUCAUUGCUCACCUCUGAAUAAAGAUGCCAGCCCUAUGAAGAAAGGCCAAAGGUAUUUAGGCACCUAACUCCCAUUGAAAUCAAGGGGACUUAAAUACCUUUGAGGACCUGGGCCCGAGCGUUUAAGGGAUCUGCUGUGUACAGAUGGGGGCUCACGCUCACACUGUGGACCCGGGGACACUGGAUGCAGCUCUGUAGCUCAGCAUGUGAAGGGGCAGUGAAGACCAGGCCUGGCUCCUCCACUUUGCCCACUGUCACACUCCCUCCCUAUUCUUUGCAGCCUCUCUCACCCUUCACCUCUGAUUUUCCCGUGGGAGUCACCCCGCCUUGGGCUCACCUUGUCAAUAUCCUCAUGCCUCACGGGGAAGGAGAAUGUGAAGCCCAGAGGCAGCUUUUUGUGUUUCAUCUGGUGUUUAUCCAGGAAGUCGGAGAUGCAUUCGGAGAUGUAAUCGAAGAGCUGGAAAAGGGAGGCCCCAAGUCACUCCAAAAUCAUGACAACAGCAUUGCUGGGCAUUUCUCAUCAGCCCUGCAACCACCAACCUCCUCCUGCCUCUGACGGCCUCCUCUAUGGGAUGCCUGGCUCCACACUCCCCGCCACUCCAUGCUGCCCAGUUCUCUAGCCUCUACCCAGGUCCAUUCAUUGACUUUCUAUUGGAUGUUGCCUCGGGAAUAAUGACCAUCAGUGAUUAUUACCCAGAAAACCACACGCACUACAUAAAGAUUUCUAUGGCGCGCAUUAUAUAGACAUGCAGAUGUCUGCAGUCGCAGCAUUGCCCACCAGAGGGCACCCAACCCUCUGGUAUAACGUAGUGGCCCAUGCAAUGGCAGUUCCUAAUUCCAGCUUUGGAGAUCUGCAAAAUCUGUGCUCAGGGGUAGCUCUUGCCUGUCUCAGAGCGGCCAACAGCACAUGGGCUAGCACUGCCGGCCAUGGCUUCCACCCACGCCUCUUAGGCUGAGUUGAUGUGUGCAGCUGCCCAGUCCUAGCUAGAGGUACAGAGGAAAUGAAUACUGGUAGAGGAGGCUGGGACUGGGCACACACACCUGGUGUGCGUGGGGAUGAAUGUGUGUAUGUGAGAGCAGAUGACUUUAUCUCUGCCCUAAAUCCGGUUGUCUGUACCCUACUGGCCUUCCUCUGAUAUGUUCGUUGAAGGAAUUACUCUUGGAUAGAGCUGGGCGAAAUUUUCCUAGUCAAAACUUUUUGGGGGUGUGUGUGUGGGGGGAAUUCUGACAUGACUUUGGUGUGUCUGUGCCAGGCAAGUGCUUAGAUGACAUGGCUGCCACGUUGUGGGUGGAAUAUAUUGUUACGUAGAGAAGCUGAAGUCUUCGGGAACAAUACCGAGAUCUGUGACUGGUGAGUGCGGGAAUUUGAGUAGAGGGCUGGUAUAAUUCUGUGUUUUUAUUUGAAAAUUCGAUUAGUUCAGUCCUCCCCUUCACAUAUGUAAGUAUUUUGUGUCCCUAGUAAUGGCUAUUUUAAUGCAGCCAGUAAAAUUAAUUAUUCACA